AUACGUAUGUCGCAAGCGUUAUCCGGAUUUAUUGGGCGUAAAGCGCGUCUAGGCGGUUUAGUAAGUCUGAUGUGAAAAUGCGGGGCUCAACCCCGGAUUGCGUUGGAAACUGCUAAACUAGAGUACUGGAGAGGUAGGCGGAACUACAAGGGUAGCGGGGAAAUUCGUAGAUAUUUGUAGGAAUGCCGAUGGGGAAGCCAGCCUACUGGACAGAUACUGACGCUAAAGUGCGAAAGCGUGGGUAGCAAACAGGAUUAGAUACCCUGGUAGUCCACGCCGUAAACGAUGAUUACUAGGUGUUGGGGGUCGAACCUCAGCGCCCAAGCUAACGCGAUAAGUAAUCCGCCUGGGGAGUACGUACGCAAGUAUGAAACUUAAAGGAAUCGACGGGG
RNAcentral lists this ribosomal RNA (392 nucleotides) under uncultured bacterium. RNAcentral's name for it is "partial 16S ribosomal RNA". It matches the Rfam family "Bacterial small subunit ribosomal RNA", at positions 523 to 918 of the family's 1533-position model. The record is from RNAcentral.